UGUGCUAUGGCUCAGUGGUAGAGCAUUCGCCUAGCAUGUGCAAGGCCCUGGGUUCAAUCCUCAGCACCACAU
This 72-nucleotide transfer RNA is filed under the name Marmota monax (woodchuck). It matches the Rfam family "tRNA". Rfam says of the family: Transfer RNA (tRNA) molecules are approximately 80 nucleotides in length. Lineage: Eukaryota; Metazoa; Chordata; Mammalia; Rodentia; Sciuridae. The record is from Rfam by way of RNAcentral.